UACGAAAGGGGCUAGCGUUGUUCGGAAUUACUGGGCGUAAAGCGCACGUAGGCGGCCUUGUAAGAUCGGGGUGAAAUCCCCGGGCUCAACCCGGGAACUGCCUUCAUGACUGCAAAGCUAGAGGAUGCGAGAGGUUAGCGGAAUUCCGAGUGUAGAGGUGAAAUGCGUAGAUAUUCGGAAGAACACCAGUGGCGAAGGAGGCUAACUGGGGCAUUUCUGACGCUGAGGUGCGAGAGCGUGCGGAGCAAACAGG
RNAcentral lists this ribosomal RNA (253 nucleotides) under uncultured bacterium. RNAcentral describes it as "partial 16S ribosomal RNA". It matches the Rfam family "Bacterial small subunit ribosomal RNA", at positions 524 to 776 of the family's 1533-position model. The record is from RNAcentral.